CUGGCGGCGUGCUAAUACAUGCAAGUCGAACGAGAGCGACCGGUGCUUGCACUGGUCAAUCUAGUGGCGAACGGGUGAGUAACACGUGGGUAACCUGCCCAUCAGAGGGGGAUAACAUCCGGAAACGGAUGCUAAAACCGCAUAGGUCUUCGAACCGCAUGGUUUGAAGAGGAAAAGAGGCGCAAGCUUCUGCUGAUGGAUGGACCCGCGGUGCAUUAGCUAGUUGGUGAGGUAACGGCUCACCAAGGCCGUGAUGCAUAGCCGACCUGAGAGGGUGAUCGGCCACAUUGGGACUGAGACACGGCCCAAACUCCUACGGGAGGCAGCAGUAGGGAAUCUUCCGCAAUGGACGCAAGUCUGACGGAGCAACGCCGCGUGAGUGAAGAAGGUUUUCGGAUCGUAAAACUCUGUUGUUAGAGAAGAACAAGUGCUAGAGUAACUGUUAGCGCCUUGACGGUAUCUAACCAGAAAGCCACGGCUAACUACGUGCCAGCAGCCGCGGUAAUACGUAGGUGGCAAGCGUUGUCCGGAUUUAUUGGGCGUAAAGCGAGCGCAGGCGGUUCCUUAAGUCUGAUGUGAAAGCCCCCGGCUCAACCGGGGAGGGUCAUUGGAAACUGGGGAACUUGAGUGCAGAAGAGGAGAGUGGAAUUCCAUGUGUAGCGGUGAAAUGCGUAGAUAUAUGGAGGAACACCAGUGGCGAAGGCGACUCUCUGGUCUGUAACUGACGCUGAGGCUCGAAAGCGUGGGUAGCAAACAGGAUUAGAUACCCUGGUAGUCCACGCCAUAAACGAUGAGUGCUAAGUGUUGGAGGGUUUCCGCCCUUCAGUGCUGCGGUUAACGCAUUAAGCACUCCGCCUGGGG
This 861-nucleotide ribosomal RNA is filed under the name uncultured Granulicatella sp. RNAcentral describes it as "bacterial SSU rRNA". It matches the Rfam family "Bacterial small subunit ribosomal RNA", at positions 36 to 878 of the family's 1533-position model. The record is from RNAcentral. Lineage: Bacteria; Bacillati; Bacillota; Bacilli; Lactobacillales; Carnobacteriaceae.